RNAcentral lists this transfer RNA (74 nucleotides) under bacterium. RNAcentral describes it as "tRNA-Gly". It matches the Rfam family "tRNA". From Rfam's summary of the family: Transfer RNA (tRNA) molecules are approximately 80 nucleotides in length. Their secondary structure includes four short double-helical elements and three loops (D, anti-codon, and T loops). The record is from RNAcentral.
GCGGGCGUGGUCUAACGGUAUGACGGCUGCCUUCCAAGCAGUCGACGCGGGUUCGACUCCCGCCGCCCGCACCA